ACAAACUGGGGUUACUGGGGUUACUGGUGUAACUGGGAGGGACAAACUGGGGUUACUGGGAGGGACUGGGAGGGACAAACUGGGGUUACUGGGGUUACUGGUGUUACUGGGAGAACAAACUGGGGUAAUGGCCCAGGGGGCGCUGGGGGGAGAAACCGGGGUUACUGGGAGCACUGGGAGCACUGGGAGCACUGGGAGCACUGGGAGCACUGGGGUAAUGGCCCAGGGGGCUCUGGGGGGACAAACCGGGGUUACUGGGGUUACUGGGAGCACUGGGAGCACUGGGAGGGACAAACUGGGGUUACUGGGAGCACUGGGAGCACUGGGAGCACUGGGGUAAUGGCCCAGGGGGCGCUGGGGGGACAAACUGGGGUUACUGGGGUUACUGGGAGCACUGGGAGCACUGGGAGGGACAAACUGGGGUAAUGGCCCAGGGGGCGCUGGGGGGAGAAACCGGGGUUACUGGGGUUACUGGGAGGGACAAACUGGGGUUACUGGGGUUACUGGUGUAACUGGGAGAACAAACUGGGGUUACUGGGAGCACUGGGAGCACUGGGGUAAUGGCCCAGGGGGCGCUGGGGGAGAAACAAACGGGGGUUACUGGUGUAACUGGGAGCACUGGGAGGGACAAACUGGGGUUACUGGGGUUACUGGUGUAACUGGGAGCACUGGGAGCACUGGGAGGGACAAACUGGGGUUACUGGGAGCACUGGGAGCACUGGGAGCACUGGGAGCACUGGGAGGGACUGGGAGCACUGGGGUAAUGGCCCAGGGGGCUCUGGGGGAGAAACAAACGGGGGUUACUGGGAGCACUGGGAGCACUGGGAGGGACUGGGAGCACUGGGAUGGACAAACUGGGGUUACUGGGAGCACUGGGAGCACUGGGAGGGACAAACUGGGGUUACUGGGAGCACUGGGAGGCACUGGGGUGGGUUUGGGGUCCUGGGUGGGGUCCAGGGUGGGUUUUGGGUGGGUUUUGGGUGGGUUAUUUGGGAUGUUGGGUGGGUUAUUUUGGGGAGGGGUCCCACAGGGGUUCAUUGAUUUGGGUUGGGGUCUCACCAUGUCCAUGGGCUCGUUGCGGAGCACCCAGAGCAGGGGUUGGGUCAGGUUUGGGUCAGUUUUGG
This 1124-nucleotide long non-coding RNA is filed under the name Camarhynchus parvulus. RNAcentral describes it as "lncRNA (ENSCPVG00000017564.1)". Lineage: Eukaryota; Metazoa; Chordata; Aves; Passeriformes; Thraupidae. The record is from RNAcentral.